GGCCGUUGGGCCAAGUGGUAAGGCUUUGUUCUUGCAAACCAAAGAUCCAGGGUUCAAACCCCUGAAUGGCCU
This 72-nucleotide transfer RNA is filed under the name Cordylochernes scorpioides. RNAcentral's name for it is "tRNA-Ala". It matches the Rfam family "tRNA". Rfam says of the family: Transfer RNA (tRNA) molecules are approximately 80 nucleotides in length. Their secondary structure includes four short double-helical elements and three loops (D, anti-codon, and T loops). The record is from RNAcentral. Lineage: Eukaryota; Metazoa; Arthropoda; Arachnida; Pseudoscorpiones; Chernetidae.